CAGCCGCCGCGGGAAUACGAAGGGGGCUAGCGUUGCUCGGAAUGACUGGGCGUAAAGGGCGCGUAGGCGGCGAUCAAAGUCAGGCGUGAAAUUCCUGGGCUCAACCUGGGGGCUGCGUUUGAUACUUGAUUGCUAGAGUGGGGAAGAGGGUCGUGGAAUUCCCAGCGUAGAGGUGAAAUUCGUAGAUAUUGGGAAGAACACCGGUGGCGAAGGCGGCGACCUGGUCCUUGACUGACGCUGAGGCGCGAAAGCGUGGGGAGCAAACAGGAUUAGAUACCCCCGUAGUCCCUGUCUCUUAUAC
This 301-nucleotide ribosomal RNA is filed under the name uncultured bacterium. RNAcentral describes it as "partial 16S ribosomal RNA". It matches the Rfam family "Bacterial small subunit ribosomal RNA", at positions 509 to 807 of the family's 1533-position model. The record is from RNAcentral.